CGGGACUUCACCUUCCACUCUAGGCAGAUUCCUGGAAUGUGAGCAGAUGGACCGUUUGCAAAUGGCCCUACUUCUCUCAUUCAACUAACGUUACUGAUCAUUUUCAACGGAUUCCAUUCAGUGGAAUCUGAAUCUACUCUGCAUCUACUCUGUGUUUGGAGGCUGGAUGGGAUAUGCUCACUGGCCUUUCUUUCUGCUGAGUGGUUCACUGUGUAAACAAAUGGCUUGCAGUCUCCAGGGCACCACAGACCCCAGUGAUGCACCUGUUUUAAGUCAAACACUCUUUUUGGUAUAUUAACAAUUACAUGUAUUUUGUGCUUUGUUAAUUUCAUGUGGUUUUCUUGUUGUUGUUGUUGGGUUGGUUGUUUGUUUUGAGACAGUCUCACUCUGUCACCCAGGCCGGACUUCUGUGGCGCGAUCUCGGCUCACUGCAACCUCCACCUCCCAGAUUCAAGCGAUUCUCCUGCCUCAGCCUCCCAAGUAGCUGGGAUUACAGGCGCUCACCAACAUGCCCAGCUAAUUUUUGUGUUUUCAGUAGAGGUUUCGCCAUGUUGGCCAGGCUGGUCUCAAACUCCUGACCUCAGGUGGUCCACCUGCCUGGGAUUAUAGGCGUGAGCCACUGCUCCCAGCAAGUUUCCUUCCUUCCUUCCUUUCUUUCUUGUUUUUUUGGAGACAGAUUCUCGAUGUGUCACCCAAGCUGGAGUACAAUGGCGAGAGCUCAGCUUGCUGCAACCUCCACCUCCUGGGUUCAAAUGAUUCUCCUGCCUCAGCCUCCCGAGUAGCUGGGACUACAGGCGCGCAUCACCACACCCAGCUAAUUUUUGUAUUUUUAAUACAGACGGGGUUUCACUACGUUGACCAGGUUGGAACUCCUGACCUCAGGUGAUCCAGCCACCUCAGCCUCCCAAAGUGCUGGGAUUACAGGCAUGAGCCACCGCGCCCAGCUCAGGUUUUCUUCAGCUAUGGCAUAACACCGUGAGAUGUUGCAAUCAAUACCAAGAAAGCCCCCACGAUGCCGAGGACAUCUUACUCCUGCUGCUGGGCCUCAUCGUUCUUGUCAACAUUGGCAUCAACGUGGCAACUAUGAUGUGGCAUGGACUCCAGAACGCCUUAGACAAGAUGAUUGAUUGGGCUACUCAGAAAAGUGAAGAUGUCCCGACCCACGCAGUACUCCUCUUUCUCCUGCCACCAUUUCUCCAACCAUCACAGUAGCAGUCUUCUUCGCUGUGUUCGUCGCCACC
This 1241-nucleotide long non-coding RNA is filed under the name Pan troglodytes (chimpanzee). Its description in RNAcentral is "long non-coding RNA NONPTRT006659". Lineage: Eukaryota; Metazoa; Chordata; Mammalia; Primates; Hominidae. The record is from RNAcentral.